This 636-nucleotide ribosomal RNA is filed under the name uncultured Gammaproteobacteria bacterium. Its description in RNAcentral is "bacterial SSU rRNA". It matches the Rfam family "Bacterial small subunit ribosomal RNA", at positions 8 to 617 of the family's 1533-position model. The record is from RNAcentral. Lineage: Bacteria; Pseudomonadati; Pseudomonadota; Gammaproteobacteria.
AGAGUUUGAUCCUGGCUCAGACGAACGCUGGCGGUAGGCCUAACACAUGCAAGUCGAACGGUAACGGACCGCUGGGAUUCCUUCGGGAUGACCUUGGUGCCGACGAGUGGCGGACGGGUGAGUAACACGUAGGAAUCUGCCCAACAGUGGGGGACAACCCGGAGAAAUCCGGGCUAAUACCGCAUACGCCCUACGGGGGAAAGCGGGGGAUCUUCGGACCUUGCGCUGUUGGAGGAGCCUGCGUCGGAUUAGCUUGUUGGUGAGGUAAAGGCUCACCAAGGCUACGAUCCGUAGCUGGUCUGAGAGGAUGAUCAGCCACACUGGGACUGAGACACGGCCCAGACUCCUACGGGAGGCAGCAGUGGGGAAUAUUGCACAAUGGGCGAAAGCCUGAUGCAGCCAUACCGCGUGGGUGAAGAAGGCCUUAGCGUUGUAAAGCCCUUUCAGCAGGGAAGAAGGGUGCGAGGUUAAUACCCUCGUAUUUUGACGGUACCUGCAGAAGAGCACCGGCUAACUCCGUGCCAGCAGCCGCGGUAAUACGAGAGCGGUGCAAAUCGUUAAUCGGAAUUACUGGGCGUAAAGCGCGCGUAGGCGGUCUGCGUCCAGUCAGAUGUGAAAGCCCCGGGCUCAACCCUG